RNAcentral lists this ribosomal RNA (452 nucleotides) under uncultured bacterium. RNAcentral's name for it is "bacterial SSU rRNA". It matches the Rfam family "Bacterial small subunit ribosomal RNA", at positions 29 to 506 of the family's 1533-position model. The record is from RNAcentral.
ACGAACGCUGGCGGCGUGCUUAACACAUGCAAGUCGAGCGACGCGCCUUCGGGUGACGGAGCGGCGAACGGGUGAGUAACACGUGGGCAACCUGCCCCUAGCUCUGGGAUAACUCCGGGAAACCGGGGCUAAUACCGGAUACGACCUCUGCCGGCAUCGGUGGGGGUGGAAAGUUCUUCGGCUAGGGAUGGGCCCGCGGCCUAUCAGCUUGUUGGUGGGGUGAUGGCCUACCAAGGCGACGACGGGUAGCCGGCCUGAGAGGGCGACCGGCCACACUGGGACUGAGACACGGCCCAGACUCCUACGGGAGGCAGCAGUGGGGAAUAUUGCGCAAUGGGCGAAAGCCUGACGCAGCGACGCCGCGUGGGGGAUGAAGGCCUUCGGGUUGUAAACCUCUUUCAGCAGGGACGAAUUCAGACGGUACCUGCAGAAGAAGCACCGGCCAACUACGU